GUGGCGCCUGGCGCUGCCGGCGGGGGCGACGCGGGACCACCCGGCCGCGAACCCGGAGGUGGGCGAGCUCCCGCCGCUGCUCGUCGCGGCCGGCGACCGCGACAUGCUGAUCGACCGCAUCAGGGAGUACGUGGCGCGGGCGCGGGCGCGGGCCGCCGCCGCGGGCAACAGGCGCGUCGACCUCGUCGAGUUCCCUGGCGCGGGGCACGGGUUCGCCAUCCUCGAGCCCGAUGGCGAGGCUGCGGGUGAGCUAGUCCGCGUCGUGCGGCGGUUUGUGCAUGGCGGAUGAGACAGGGAGUCGUUGGGAUUUGUCCGGACACCUCUCUCGUCACGCUUCCAGGUGCCAGCCAGCCUGCCACCACCAAACGUGACAUGGUUCAUGGUUGUAUCUCUCUCGUGAUCUUGUCCAAGUGCAAUGUGCAUGCACACCACAAUAAUUAUCGUAAUUAAUAAAUAUGCACACAACAAUAGUAUCUUUUAUUAUAUCAUACAUAAUCCCAGAACACAUUACGCUACCAGACAUAGGGCACAAGAGCUUUGACCCUGGACGGGAAGUCGUCGAACUUGGCGGCGUACCACUUCCUGGUGGCGCGGCUCCGGCCGGCGAGGUAGGCCGCGGUGCCCACGGCCACGGUGAGCGCGAACAGCGUCUGGGAGACCAUGGCGAGGCCGAAGAAGGCGAGGGUCUCGAAGAGGUAGUGCGGGCAGGCGACGAGGCCGAACAGCCCGCCGCUGGGGAUCCUGUACGCCCCCUCGCCGCCUGCGUCACCGCCGUGGCGCGCCCUCAGCCUCGAGAGGAGGUAGUGGUGGUAGAAGUUGCCGGCGAGGCCGACGGCGAAGGCGAGCACGCCGGGAAGCAGCAGGUCCACGCGGGGCUCCGGGAGCCCGCGGCGCCUGAGGCGCUGCGCGUAGAUCAUGCCGCCGCCGGCGAACAGGUAGUGGCCGGCGAUCAGCAGCGACGUGGCCAGCGGCAUGCUCCCGCUGUACCGGUGGAGGAAGAGCGCCUCGAGGACCCGUUUGAGGAAGUGGACGGCGAUGGCGGCGCUGAGGACGUGCGCGCGCGCGCCGUCGACGGCGCCUGGCACCGCGAAGGACGCGACCGCGGCGGCGAGCGCCGGGAAGUAGAGCAGCACCAUCCCGAUUCGGCUCGGUACCCGCACCCGCUGCCGCUGCUGCUGCUGCUUCGUCCCUUGCUGGCCGCCGCCGCCGCCGCCGCCGCCGCCGCGCGAGAACUUGGAGUAGGCCAAGUGGUCGCCUCGGAACUCGGAGACGGCCAGGAAGGCCAUCGCGACGGCGCCCGCCGCCGACGCCCACGCCUCGAGCGGCGACGGCGCGUGCAGGAACGGCGGCGCAGGCCACGCCAUCUGUUAUUAUUAGCUCGCGCGACCAGAGCUGUAGGACGGACGGUGGCGUUGCAUCGGA
Molecule: unclassified non-coding RNA, 1422 nt
Filed under: Zea mays
Lineage: Eukaryota; Viridiplantae; Streptophyta; Magnoliopsida; Poales; Poaceae
Description: misc RNA Zm00001eb117270
Source: RNAcentral